Molecule: ribosomal RNA, 253 nt
Filed under: uncultured bacterium
Lineage: Bacteria
Description: partial 16S ribosomal RNA
Rfam family: Bacterial small subunit ribosomal RNA
Source: RNAcentral
UACGUAGGAUGCAAGCGUUGUCCGGAUUUAUUGGGGUUAAAGGGUGUGUAGGUGGCCUAUUAAGUUAGUGGUGAAAACGUUCGGCUUAACCGGAUACCCGCCAUUGAUACUGAUAGACUUGAGUGCGACAGAGGGUGUUGGAAUGUGUGGUGUAGCGGUGAAAUGCUUAGAUAUCACGCAGAACACCAAUUGCGAAGGCAGAUGCCUAUGUCGUAACUGACGCUGAGGCACGAAAGCGUGGGGAGCAAACAGG